UACGUAGGGUGCGAGCGUUGUCCGGAAUUAUUGGGCGUAAAGAGCUUGUAGGCGGUUUGUCGCGUCUGCUGUGAAAUCUCAAGGCUCAACCUUGAGCUUGCAGUGGGUACGGGCAGACUAGAGUGUGGUAGGGGAGACUGGAAUUCCUGGUGUAGCGGUGAAAUGCGCAGGUAUCAGGAGGAACACCGAUGGCGAAGGCAGGUCUCUGGGCCGCAACUGACGCUGAGGAGCGAAAGCAUGAGGAGCGAACAGG
This 253-nucleotide ribosomal RNA is filed under the name uncultured bacterium. RNAcentral describes it as "partial 16S ribosomal RNA". It matches the Rfam family "Bacterial small subunit ribosomal RNA", at positions 524 to 776 of the family's 1533-position model. The record is from RNAcentral.